AUGCUCAGGGACACAAAGCCUGCAGCGAGGGGCCGGGGCUGCGCCCUCAUCCCUCACACGAGCCCCCCGCUUUGCCUCACCCCGUCUGCCCCGAGCUGCUGGAAGCGGUGGGAAAACCCAAUUCUGAUGAGUAACGCCGCAGUUAUCUCUUUCUUCCAUCGCUACGGUGUGUCCUCGCACAUGCCAGAACCGGGCAAGAGCUUUUGUUUGGGCUGCGCCGGGAAAUCAUCGCAUUCUUUUAAUAUCUCAAAACAAAGAGUUACCACAGGGGCGAGAAAAAAAAAAAAUACAACACAAAAAACCCAGACCACACGGGGAGGUGCUGCCGAGUUCCCCAGAAACGUCCAUACAAUGCAUUUGCGUGGGGGCAGCCCGCAGACAUUCUGUUCCCCCCACGGAUCCCUGCUCCCUGCACUCAGGACUGAGCACCGGCCUGUGGCUGUGCCUGCCUGGGCUCUGCUCUCGUUGAUUUUGCCCUCGGUACGUGGUUGCUGGUUGGUUUUUAUUCCGAGAGCGAGCCGGGUGCGUCGCGGUUCUGUGUGCGCGGCUGUGGCUGUCCGUGCAUCCCCCCCCCCCCGACGUAGCCCUGCGUCUCUCUCAGCCUGGUGCACCCGGGCGCUUUGCUGCGCACCCUCCCCACACCCUGCCCCCCCCCCCUGCCCCCCCGGCUUCUCCUUUUGGGGGCAGCUACCUCCCCACAUCCCCUUCUGCAAAGCCUGCAGCACGCCCCUUCCCACCCCCCCUGCAGCGCGGGACCCCGCUUUUCUCCCUUCUCAUCCCACCCAGCGCUCUCCUUUACAGCGCUGCCCCGCGCAUCCCCAACUUGUCAGCUCGGCCGCACCCGUCUCCACGCCCCCCCCCUUAAUACCCGCGGUGCCGGGGGUCCCCCUGCACCUGCCCAGCCCCUCGCCCCCUCCUCCCCGCACCGGCGGCCGGGCGGGGCGGGCUGCACGGCGGCCAAUGGGCGCGGGGGGGCGCGGCCGUCGGGGUCGCCGCAUUUAG
Molecule: long non-coding RNA, 1002 nt
Filed under: Numida meleagris (helmeted guineafowl)
Lineage: Eukaryota; Metazoa; Chordata; Aves; Galliformes; Numididae
Description: lncRNA (ENSNMEG00000009762.1)
Source: RNAcentral